CAUGCCACCACAGUUUACUAUCAGUAGAGACAGCUGUUGAAAAACAACAAACAAGCAGAUAAAUACAUUAUUGUGUGUUUAUGAGUUUUACAUGUCUGUGUGACUGAUUUCUUUACACAGCAGGUCCUCACAAAUGGAGCUUGAGGAAGGAUGGUGGUGAGGAAACAACAACAACAAAACCAUUGAGACAUUAAGUGUAGUACAGCAGAGAGAGGAGAAGUAAGGGAACAGGUUAAAAAGUAGUCAGUGUGGCGGCCUCUAGGGUUGGUCUUAGGUAUUGUGUUGGGAGGAUGUCAUUCGCCGGAUCCUUGGAGGCGGAGCUGCAACAUCAUCACAGAUGCGUCACACCUGAGGACCUCCCCCAUCUACUCACACCUGGCAUGUCACCUGAUUGCACUUUUGAUUGUAUCUGGUGCUUCACCUUCACUCGCACACGCACCAGCGGAGCAUGCACACUGAUAUACAGACAAACAUUCCAUUAGUUAGCUGUUGGGUUUAUUAAAUCAUCAGAAAAAGACAAGUAAUGUAGGUAGAAAUGGAAUUAAUAGAAGGAAACAAACAAACACGGAAACACAUAGAUAGAAUCAGUCAGAUAGGGGGAGGAAAGAAGUCGGCAAAAAUAAAUCGAGGAAACAAGGAAGAAUGUCAAAGGAGAUAAGACAGGCCACCGCAGCAGGAAAGAUCUCGGCUUCGAUCACCAUCUCUGCCAGACUCACUGAGUGUUUGCUGAUCUGACUUAGAGCUGAGAAGACCUGCCUCUGAGGACACAGGGAACACAGAACAGAACACUGACUUGCACCACAUGAGAAGAGAGAAGAGGUAAUGCAGGAGCAGAGCAGACGAAGACAAAUGGGGAAGAAACAAAGGGGUUGAGGAUCAUCUGCGCCAUGUGAGCGACUCCUCCAGUGUCCACCACCGUCUGCGCCAGUUCGGGCGCGUGUUUGCAGAUGUCGCUAAUGGUGGAGGAGGCGAUGCGUUUGAGGGCAAUUUCAGGCUCCCGCAGACACAUGAGCAGCAGCGGGACCGCGCCCGCGUCCACGACGGACUGUGCUAACACUGCAAGCAGAAGAAUCGAGUCACACAAGAGAUGUGCUGCAACAGGCUUCCACUUGGAGGCGCCAAAUUCCGAGGCAGGCUUGUUAACUUCUACACUAUGGAACCUCACGUUUCAAGUUGUGAGGUGUACUGACGUUCUGUGAGCCCAAAGAGUGGACCAGCUGUGGAAGGAUGUCUUCCCUCACCACGGCCUCUGCCAGCUCAUCGCUGUGGUCAGCCAGACGGCCCAGAGCUAAAGCUGCUGUCUGCUGGAUGCUGGGGACCACGUCCAACAUCAGCGGACGCAGCAUGGACAUCACACCUACAGGAAGAGAAGCUGAUGCAUCAGAAAUUUGUGAGGUGUACUGACGUUCUGUGAGCCCAAAGAGUGGACCAGCUGUGGAAGGAUGUCUUCCCUCACCACGGCCUCUGCCAGCUCAUCGCUGUGGUCAGCCAGACGGCCCAGAGCUAAAGCUGCUGUCUGCUGGAUGCUGGGGACCACGUCCAACAUCAGCGGACGCAGCAUGGACAUCACACCUACAGGAAGAGAAGCUGAUGCAUCAGAAAUACGCUGAAGACCGACUGGCAGAAACAGAGAGAAGAACGGUGUCUACACACUGGAACUACAUUGGCAUGAAAACAGAAUUAGCUGAGCGGGUUCUGGCGUUGGCGACCCCGGGGGCCCUGCGGUCAUCCAGAGGACGAG
Cynoglossus semilaevis (tongue sole) is the source of this 1741-nucleotide long non-coding RNA. RefSeq lists it as uncharacterized. Lineage: Eukaryota; Metazoa; Chordata; Actinopteri; Pleuronectiformes; Cynoglossidae. The record is from RefSeq and is a predicted model, not a curated record. The transcript is spliced from 7 exons.